RNAcentral lists this ribosomal RNA (255 nucleotides) under uncultured bacterium. RNAcentral's name for it is "partial 16S ribosomal RNA". It matches the Rfam family "Bacterial small subunit ribosomal RNA", at positions 524 to 776 of the family's 1533-position model. The record is from RNAcentral.
UACGGAGGGAGCUAGCGUUGUUCGGAUAUACUGGGCGUAAAGCGCACGUAGGCGGCGCAGCAAGUCAGGGGUGAAAUCCCGGAGCUCAACUCCGGAACUGCCCUUGAAACUGCAGUGCUAGAAUCCUGGAGAGGCGAGUGGAAUUCCGAGUGUAGAGGUGAAAUUCGUAGAUAUUCGGAAAGAACACCAGUGGCGAAGGCGACUCGCUGGACAGGUAUUGACGCUGAGGUGGCGAAAGCGUGGGGAGCAAACAGG